This 1781-nucleotide ribosomal RNA is filed under the name Austrognatharia strunki. RNAcentral describes it as "SSU rRNA". It matches the Rfam family "Eukaryotic small subunit ribosomal RNA". The record is from RNAcentral. Lineage: Eukaryota; Metazoa; Gnathostomulida; Bursovaginoidea; Austrognathiidae.
UUAUAUGCUUGUCUCAAAGGCUAAGCCAUGCAUGUCUUCGUUCAUGCUCUCGAACAGUGAAACCGCGAAUGGCUCAUUAAAUCAGUUAUGGUUCCUUAGAUCGUAUACUGAGUUGGAUAACUCUGGUAAACUGGAGCUAAUACAUGCGAAAAGCCUUAACCUAACGGAAGAGGCGCAUUUAUUAGAUCAAAAUCAGCUGGACUGGUUGCUUCGGCAGUCGGUCUGAUGAUUGUGAUGACUCUGGAUAACAUUUGCUGACCGCUUAGGGCUUUGACCCGGCGGCGUAUCUUUCAAAUGUCUGCCCUAUCAACUUGAUGGUACGUGAUUUGCCUACCAUGGUUAUAACGGGUAACGGGGAAUCAGGGUUCGAUUCCGGAGAGGGAGCAUGAGAAACGGCUACCACAUCUAAGGAAGGCAGCAGGCGCGCAAAUUACCCACUCCCGGAACGGGGAGGUAGUGACGAGAAAUUACGAUGCUGGGUACAUUAGUUGCUCAGCAAUCGUCUUGAGUACAUUUUAAAUCCUUUAACGAGGAUCUAUUGGAGGGCAAGUCUGGUGCCAGCAGCCGCGGUAAUUCCAGCUCCAAUAGCGUAUAUUAAAGUUGUUGCGGUUAAAAAGCUCGUAGUUGGAUGUGGACCACAGCUGUGCGGUCCGUCGGUGUGACGGCUACUGCUCAGCUGGGUCUCUUCGCCGGACCCAUCCCAGGCUGCUCUUAGCUGAGUGGCUUGGGUGGCCGGAACGUUUACUUUGAGAAAAUCAGCGUGCUCAAAGCAGGCUUACUGCUCGAAUAGUAGUGCAUGGAAUAAUGGAAUAGGACCUUCGGGCCUAUUUGUUGGUUUUUGGACCGAGGUAAUGGUUAAUAGAGACAGACGGGGGCAUUCGUACUGCGGCGUUAGAGGUGAAAUUCGAAGAUCGUCGCAAGACGAACGACAGCGAAAGCAUUUGCCAAGGAUGUUUUCAUUAAUCAAGAACGAAAGUCGGAGGUUCGAAGGGGAUCAGAUACCCCCCUAGUUCUGACCAUAAACGAUGCCAACUAGCGAUCGGCCAGCGUUAUUUCAAUGACCUGGCCGGGAGCUUCCGGGAAACCAAAGUUUUUGGGUUCCGGGGGAAGUAUGGUUGCAAAGCUGAAACUUAAAGAAAUUGACGGAAGGGCACCACCAGGAGUGGAGCCUGUGGCUUAAUUUGACUCAACACGGGAAAACUCACCCGGCCCGGACACCGGAAGGAUUGACAGAUUGAAAGCUCUUUCUCGAUUCGGUGGAUGGUGGUGCAUGGCCGUUCUUAGUUGGUGGAGUGAUUUGUCUGGUUAAUUCCGAUAACGAACGAGACUCUGACCUGCUAAAUAGUCCAGGCUCACCGUACGGUGAGUUCUGCCGACUUCUUAGAGGGACUGGUGGCUUAUCCAAGUCACACGAGAUUGAGCAAUAACAGGUCUGUGAUGCCCUUAGAUGUUCGGGGCUGCACACGCGCUACACUGGUGGAAACAGCGUGCUGUGUCCUGGUCCGAAAGGAUUGGGUAAACCGGUCAACCUUCCCCGUGCUUGGGAUAGCGGAUUGGAAUUAUUUCGCUUCAACGAGGAAUUCCUAGUAAGCGCGUGUCAUAAGCUGGCGCUGAUUACGUCCCUGCCCUUUGUACACACCGCCCGUCGCUACGACCGACUGUUUCUGUCAAUGAAGCUGUAGGAUCUGGCUCUGGCCGGGCUUCACGGCCUGGCCGUGAGAUCGGAGAUCACAGUUGAGUUGAUACGAAAUACAGGACGUAAAAGUCGUAACAAGGUUUCC